AUGGCCGCCAUGACCAACAACUGCGGAAUCGCGGUUUGCAGGGUUGGUUGUCCACUUGGCGGGUGGACCAUAUAUGGAUGUCAUAUGUCGGGAUUCAUGGACAUUGCCUUUUGCAAUGGUGAGCUCUAUGGCAUUCAACCGGGUUGCGAUAAACUCAUCAAAUUUGUGAUCCGUGUGAAGAAGGAUGUCGCUCCGGUGGUCACCGAAAAGUACCGGAUAAACAUGCUUAGAGUAGACCGUCCAUCACCGUGGAGCACUUGCAAUGAGUACGCAUGUUACAUCGUGGAUCUACAUGGGAAGUGUACGAUUGUGAUGAUUAACCGGCGGUGCUUUUCCCCGAGGCCUUUCUUUAGGAUGUUCGAGCUCAUCGACGCUACCACUUGGUCUGAGGUGACCAGCUUGGGCGACCAUGCCUUAUUCUUGGGACAGAAAUUUUCCAAGGUAGUGCACAUGCCAGCAGAUAGGCUUGGCGACAUAGAGAGAAAUCACAUCUACUACUGCAACCGCCGCUACCUACGUCUAAGCAAUACAGUCAAUGGUGAUGAGGUGUUCUUGACGAUCUCACAAAGCGAUGGCGACCUUAAGUAUCACAAGGAACAUUACAUCAAGAGCAUUGCCGACUAUUUCAAGAUCAGAUCGGUAGGUUACUUCAUGGAAGAUUGUCGAUAUGAUAGCAUGUGGCUUCUUCCUCCUGAUAUCUAG
This 702-nucleotide ribosomal RNA is filed under the name Triticum aestivum (bread wheat). RNAcentral's name for it is "partial small subunit ribosomal RNA". The record is from RNAcentral. Lineage: Eukaryota; Viridiplantae; Streptophyta; Magnoliopsida; Poales; Poaceae.